RNAcentral lists this long non-coding RNA (284 nucleotides) under Mytilus galloprovincialis (Mediterranean mussel). The record is from RNAcentral. Lineage: Eukaryota; Metazoa; Mollusca; Bivalvia; Mytilida; Mytilidae.
GUUUGAAUAGCUAUGGCUCCUAAUUUCACAAGCGUCAUAAAUUUUGAAUUUAGUGAUGGAUAAGUUACCGCUAGUCGUAACAAACGAUGCUCCGUCAAACAAGUAUGUAUUUUAUGGUACCGCAUAAGUUCUGGUCGCCGUUCAACUGAGUGUUUCCAUUUGUUUUCUUCGUAUAUGUCUAAAGUCUGUUUUACAAUUUUGCUCACAGUAGCUUGUCUGGAAAAAAAAUUUCAGCCACAAAGUUUUCAACAAAAGAAUCAAAAUCAUAUUUUAUCAAAAUUUUG